This 492-nucleotide ribosomal RNA is filed under the name uncultured bacterium. RNAcentral's name for it is "partial 16S ribosomal RNA". It matches the Rfam family "Bacterial small subunit ribosomal RNA", at positions 29 to 507 of the family's 1533-position model. The record is from RNAcentral.
AGUGAACGCUGGCGGCAUGCCUAACACAUGCAAGUCGAACGGCAGCACAGUAAGAGUUUGCUCUUACGGGUGGCGAGUGGCGGACGGGUGAGGAAUACAUCGGAAUCUUCUUUUUCGUGGGGGAUAACGUAGGGAAAGCUACGCUAAUACCGCAUAUGAUCUACGGGUGAAAGCAAGGGAUCUUCGGGCCUUGCGUGAUUGUAUUAGCUGAUGUCGGAUUAGCUAGUUGGCUGGGUAAAGGCCCACCAAGGCGACGAUGCGUAGCUGGUCUGAGAGGAUGAUCGGCCACACUGGAACUGAGACACGGUCCAGACUCCUACGGGAGGCAGCAGUAGGGAAUAUUGGGCAAUGGGCGCAAGCCUGAUCCAGCCAUACCGCGUGGGUGAAGAAGGCCUUCGGGUUGUAAAGCCCUUUUGUUGGGAAAGAAAAGCUGCAGAUUAGGACGCCGCUGUUCUGACGGUACCCAAUGAAUAAGCACCGGCUAACUACGUG